Molecule: ribosomal RNA, 357 nt
Filed under: Triticum aestivum (bread wheat)
Lineage: Eukaryota; Viridiplantae; Streptophyta; Magnoliopsida; Poales; Poaceae
Description: partial small subunit ribosomal RNA
Source: RNAcentral
AUGCCGUGGCUACAAAAGUGUCCUCCAUAUGGAUGGGCAUUUUUUACUGUUAGGGAGAACAAGAAAGAGGAGAGGUACAAGCUCAUAUUGGAUGUGCAAAAGGAGAGGAUGGAUCGGGACCAGGAGAGGGCGAACAAAAUGCUGCAAAUUGAGAGGGAGAAUAUCGAGUUAGAGAAGAAAGAAGCGACGAUCAAAUGGGAGCUCAAGAAGACCAAUACAUUUGGAGAGAUUGAGCUUGAGAAGGAGGGAUUACAAAGACGCGGAGGAUGCCAAGAUAAUGUCGACAGACGAAAGCCUCUUGAACGAGCAUGCAAAGAAUUGUCUUGUGAGGAUAAAGAAGAAGAUCAACGAACAUAG